AUUGAACGCUGGCGGCAGGCCUAACACAUGCAAGUCGAGCGGAUGAAGGGAGCUUGCUCCUGGAUUCAGCGGCGGACGGGUGAGUAAUGCCUAGGAAUCUGCCUGGUAGUGGGGGAUAACGUCCGGAAACGGGCGCUAAUACCGCAUACGUCCUGAGGGAGAAAGUGGGGGAUCUUCGGACCUCACGCUAUCAGAUGAGCCUAGGUCGGAUUAGCUAGUUGGUGGGGUAAAGGCCUACCAAGGCGACGAUCCGUAACUGGUCUGAGAGGAUGACCAGUCACACUGGAACUGAGACACGGUCCAGACUCCUACGGGAGGCAGCAGUGGGGAAUAUUGGACAAUGGGCGAAAGCCUGAUCCAGCCAUGCCGCGUGUGUGAAGAAGGUCUUCGGAUUGUAAAGCACUUUAAGUGGGGAGGAAGGGCAGUAAGUUAAUACCUUGCUGUUUUGACGUUACCAACAGAAUAAGCACCGGCUAACUUCGUG
This 484-nucleotide ribosomal RNA is filed under the name uncultured bacterium. RNAcentral describes it as "partial 16S ribosomal RNA". It matches the Rfam family "Bacterial small subunit ribosomal RNA", at positions 30 to 507 of the family's 1533-position model. The record is from RNAcentral.